This 508-nucleotide ribosomal RNA is filed under the name uncultured Glomeromycotina. RNAcentral describes it as "SSU rRNA". It matches the Rfam family "Eukaryotic small subunit ribosomal RNA", at positions 569 to 1078 of the family's 1831-position model. The record is from RNAcentral. Lineage: Eukaryota; Fungi; Glomeromycota.
AGCAGCCGCGGUAAUUCCAGCUCCANUAGCGUAUAUUAAAGUUGUUGCAGUUAAAAAGCUCGUAGUUGAAUUUCGGGGUCAGUAGGUCGGUCGUGCCACUGGUAUGAACUGGUUUUACUGAUUCCUCCCUCUUGAAGAACUGUAAUGCCAUUAAUUUGGUGUUGCAGGGAAUCAGGACUGUUACUUUGAAAAAAUUAGAGUGUUUAAAGCAGGCUUUAGCUUGAAUACAUUAGCAUGGAAUAAUGAAAUAGGACGUUUGAUCCUAUUUUGUUGGUUUCUAGGAUUGACGUAAUGAUUAAUAGGGAUAGUUGGGGGCAUUAGUAUUCAAUUGUCAGAGGUGAAAUUCUUGGAUUUAUUGAAGACUAACUACUGCGAAAGCAUUUGCCAAGGAUGUUUUCAUUAAUCAAGAACGAAAGUUAGGGGAUCGAAGAGGAUCAGAUACCGUCGCAGUCUUAACCAUAAACUAUGCCGACUAGGGAUCGGAUGAUGUUAAUUUUUUAAUGACUCA